This is a non-coding RNA of Podarcis lilfordi (Lilford's wall lizard), 8291 nucleotides long. Lineage: Eukaryota; Metazoa; Chordata; Lepidosauria; Squamata; Lacertidae. The record is from the annotation of a GenBank genome assembly.
CCAGUUAGUAGGCCAUUAAUUAUCACUCCCUUGAGAGAGCUUGACCAAUCAGGGAGCUGUCUCCAUGUCUCUGUUAUCACCAGGCAGACUUACUCCUUCACAUGACCUUCUGGCUGUCUGCCAAACCUUAAUUGACUCUGUGUGAGUAGCUGCACGUACACAGUUUCCCAACAAGUUUCCCUAAAUAUUUUCGUACUUUUCCCAGCCAUGUGGUCUACCCCUGUCCCAAAGACUGCCUCUUUUUUGUGCUUGAGUGGUGCUGUUUUGGCUACACUGAAUCAUAAAAUUUUAGAGUUGGAAGGGACCCUGGGGGUCCUCUACUCCAACCCCCUGCAAUGCAGGAAUCUCAUCUAGAUCAUACAUGACAGAUGGUUUUCCAGCUGCUGCUUAAAAACUAACCAACAACACUCCCUGCUUCAGUGCUGAUAAUAAUAGGGAAUGAUUUGUUGGUACAAGACUAAGGAUGAAUGGGUCUUCUUCCUACUCAUAGGGAUGGAUGGAUCAGUUUAUUUCUGUCCCCUGCCAAGGUUUCAUGUUGCCAUUCUUAACUCCAUCCUGUCCCAUUUCUGCAUUAAUCUGCAUUUUUUUAAAAAACUAAACAAAGAUCAUAUUAAAAUACAUACAUUUUAUCACAAAAUAUAUAUUCCUAAGGUUUAUCUCAAUGUAUGCAUUUCUAAAAAUAUGUAACCCUAAAAUCAUGCCUUUUUAAAUGCACUUUUGUGGCUAGUUUUAAUCAAGAAGUGUAUCACAAAAUUUGGAGAUGUAUGAAAUCAAAAGACUAAUUACAUUCUGAUGCGCACAUUAGUCCGAGAGGUGUAGAUGAAGGUCAUAUUGCACUGGAAUUCACAGAAAUUGAAUUCCUCAAGCAUUCCUAAAUAGUACUCUCUCCCCUCUCCUCCUUCUGAAGGCAUCCUUCUCUAAUGUCUGGAUGAACAAGGAAGAGGGAGUAGAUCAUGUGGAAAGAAGCAAGGUAACUAAGCAUGGAACGUGUAUGGCAGAAUGAAACAUACGUAAAGAAAAAUGCAGGUUGUUUCCUAGCUGUUAACCUGUUUGGACUCUAGUUCAUUAAAUUAGCAGCAGAAACGUGAGGUGACAGGCUUGGCAGAGAAUAGUAAAGGUGUGGUUGCUGUGGGGAAAUAAUACUCCAGCUGGUAACCUCAUUGCUGACUAUCAUCUGGGGAACCAUUUAUGCACUGCUAGAUUUAGAGAUGAAGCCAAGUGUCAAUUCCCCUGUUGUUUAGUUUCAUCAGACUGGAGUGACAUGAUUGGGAGGAAGAGCAGGGUGAUCUAAUCCUCUUUUAAGGCCAUCCAUGUUACUGGCCUUCACUACUUCUUGUAGGAGCAGAUCCCAUAGAUUAACCAAGUAAAUAAUGUUUAUUGUUAUUUUCAAAGUAAGAUUCAGAAAGAAUACCUCCUGUAACAAAAUCUUUCCAUUGCACAUUGUGGGAGGGGAUGGGAUUGACAGGUCUUAGACAUUGCCUGCUUGCAAUUUUAGGCCCUGAAAUGGCUUGUGUUAGAAGUUCAAAAGAUCAGGCAGCUGAGUAGUGAAUCCAUAAUGUAGAAGUGAUGUCCAACCUGUCCAUGUUGUUUUCUUUUGAUUUCUUGUUUUUCCAACCUUAAGUUCAAUUCUCCACUUCACCCUGGCAUAUAUGGUUUUACAGUGGUACCUCGGGUUAAGAACUUAAUUCAUUCUGGAGGUCUGUUCUUAACCUGAAACUGUUCUUAACCUGAGGUACCACUUUAGCUAAUGGGGUCUCCUGCUGCCGCCUUGCGAUUUCUGUUCUCAUACUGAAGCAAAGUUCUUAACCUGAGGUACUAUUUCUGGGUUAGCAGAGCCUGUAACCUGAAGCGUCUGUAACCUGAAGCGUCUGUAGCCUGAGGUACCACUGUAUACACAUUAUUUGGCCGGAAAACUGCAUCGCAAAUUUGGCAGGAUGGCUGAGUUUCAGGUCUUGUAUUGUUCCAGAAAGUGCAAAGUACUUAGGUUCACCUAUAAAUACAAUCUGAAUCAAAUCCCCCCCCCCCCAUUCCUAUGCAUGAAGAAUAUUGGGAACAUACUUUCCAGGGGAUUAGCACUUCAGCAACAGGCACGUGUUGAGAUGAAGCAACAUGUCUUUAUUUACCAAGAAGAUUUGUGAUGUUCGGUGGUAAGUAGCAGCAAGCAAAAAAGCUUUUCCUGGAACUGAAACGGUUCUCUCCUCCCUCCCUCUCUCCACUGCAUGGCUCUUCCAUUUAAUUCCUUCAAAUCUGUCGUAAUCAGACUGGGUUUUCGCCCAUCAGCAGAGAGAAUGACGGAAAGAGUGAACAGAAACAUCUCGAGCUACUCCACUACUCUCUGAUUUCCAAGCAUUGCAUCAAACUGGCAUGAAGCCCCCUGGGAGGAGAAAUUUACUAUAAGUCAUGUCAGGUCCAAGCACAUUAGGCUUAUGGAUAUGAUAGGCUGAAUACUGAAAUUACCAUUUGCACAAAUGAUCUUGCCAUUCCUACAGGCCUACUGUGUCCCUUUAAUACCCCAAUCUUUCAAUUAUGAAGCAGAGAUCAGUCAGGGCACUUUGGUAACCGGCUUUUUCAUUUGUCUUUUCUUCAUACACUUGUAUUACUAUUCUCAUUCCCUCCUCCUCCUCCUCCUCUUCUUUGCCAACUCUGGGAACAAUAUGUUAAGACCCCCGCUUUCUGCUGCAUACACAAAUGGGAUGGGCAUGUGAAUGACAGUCCCAUUGUAUCAGUAAGUAGUUCCUGGUGCCCAUUCAGACUGGUUGGGCAGAAGGCAAGGACACACAACAGGAGAUGCAUUGAGAGCCAAAUACAGGCACAGCUAACUAAUUCUGAUUUAGUCCCCCCCUACCCAGCCACCCCGGCGAUGUAUUCUACAAAGGUCAUGCUGAGUCCAAGAAGGAGAAAAGUGACAAGCAGUGACACUUACUGGAAAGGGUUGUAAAUAGGGUUGCCACAUUUGUUCUGGUAAAAUACAGGCCAGGACCAGGCCAGGCCAUGUGGUUGGGUGGCAAUUUAUUUUUUCAUCUGGCGCUGAAGUGACUUCAAAGCAACCCAUUGCAAUCUACUGCAACCCGCCCCCCUCUCUCUCACACACACACUUGUAAAUCUGUUUGUGCUUGGCCACCUAGAGCUUAAAUACAUGACCUUUCACAUACCCUUUCAAACCCAUGUAUUUGGAGAGGUUCCCUAACUUGGCAGAGAGGGAGAGAGAAGACCUGAAAUACAGGACAAAACUGUAUCAAUAUGGGACUAGCAUUUUAAAUUGGAAUACUGGACAAUCCUGUAUUGUACAGGACAGGUGGCAACCCUAGAAAGCAGAUUCAAGUUGGCAGGGCAGACUCUACCGAUAUCAUGUUUGGCCCUUGCUGAGUGACCUUGGGCUGGUGUUCUCCCUCUCUUCCUGUUUCUUCCAUCUCAGUCUACAUGCUAGAAAGACCCUUGAUAUAUUCAAGUGGAGAAUCUCCACCUUGCUUUCUUUUCCAGUUUGGUGACUUAGAUUUGGUGAUGGGACCUGCCAUCAUAUAUUCCACCCCCUUGCCCCAGUUGCAUCCACUGACUUUUCUUCCUUACAUUAACAUGAGAUCUCACAACUCAGUGGGCUAUCUGUCAUUCCUGUGGCUUGACACAUCCGGGUAAUCUAUGCACACCCAAAACCUGCCGUGCAUCAAUAUUUACUAAUGGAGCUUCUUGUAUGCAGAGGCUGUUUUUGCAAUAGAACAGAAAAUGAAGAAAGUUCCAUGACCUCAGCCAGGCAGCAAACAGAAAUCACAGUUAUCAAGCAUCCUGCAUUAAGCUUGGGGUGGAAAUAGAAGAAACGAUUUAGGGAAACGAAAAGAAGAGAUAAGAACGGAAGACAGGGAAUAUCAUUGUUUUCAGUACAAGUAGACUACACAAAGACAGGGAGCUGAGUCAGAUCAUUACCUAUGCUGACCAGCAGCAGUUUCCAAGCAGGUUUCCAAACAGAGGACAUAAGAACAGCAUGGUGGAUGAGACAAUGGCCAAGCUAGUCAAACAGACUGUUCUCACAGUGGCCACCUACAAGCAGGACCUGAGUGCAACGUCACUCUUGCUUCUUGUGGGUUUGAGCAACUGAUAUACAGAAACAUUGCUGACUCUGACCCUGGAGGCAAAUCGGAGUCAUCAUUAUUGGCCAUUGUUGGACUUAUCCUCCAUGAAUCUGUCCAAUACUCUUUUAUAGCCAUCCAACUUGGUGGUCAUCAUUGCCUCCUGUGGGAGCAAGUUCCACAGUUCAGCUAUGUGAAGGGCUUCCCUUUGUUUGUCCUGAAUCUUGCAACACGUAGCUUCUUUGAAUGGCCCCAGUGGAUUAUAGUAUUAUGAGAGAGGCAAUUUGUGGAAAGAAGUCCAAGGGGCAGGAGAACGAACAGAUGCUAUGAUUCAAAUGGUCUUUUCAGACUGUGCUGUGAGCAGAGGGGAAGAGAAAGCUGCUUUCAAGCAAUGUUGGGGGAACCUAAUGUUUGCUUUUUGCAAAGUUUAGGCUCUAUAAUUUCCAGGGCUAAAGAGAUUCCUCCAAGUGCUAUUCCGUGUAGAGCACAUAGGAAUGCAGGGACAGAAGAAGCUGUCUGCCAACAUUCAGCUUCACUGAAUGUCCCUGAGUUCCUGUGUUACGAGAGAUGGAGAAAAACUUUCAUGUAGCCUUUCCCCCCUUACCAUGCCCCCUCUUACUUGUUUUUUCUGUAAACUAAAAAGUCCCAAAUGCUACUUUCCCAGACCUACUUGGAGAUGCUUGGGGACUAAUCUUGGGACCUUCUUCCUGCAACAAAGAUUAUUUGUCAGACUUCCGGGGGAGGCGCCUCCGGUAAUGGCAGAAUUCCUCUGACCAGGAGGAAUCUGCUCCAUGGAAAUCUGGGUCUGGCCGCCACGGCGAAGGCGGAGACCUGUUAAAAUCACAGGCGGGAGAAGCCUGUGAACGUGGGAUUUGGUGGGCACCUUUUGCGCCUCCCCCACUCGUGGGGAACCCCGGUUUUGGGGGCUCCGGAGCGACAUGGGGUGAGCGGUGCGGUGCAUCGAAUCGUCUGCUUCUUCCAUGGGGCGAAGCCGCAUAGCUGUUGCCGGAGAGCACUGACCUUUUCCUGUGGACAAUUUGACUUUAAAGUAAUUACCCAUGAGUAGAGCUGAAACAGAAGAAUUGGAUUUCUAAAAGUUUAAUUUGGUAUCGUAACGGGGAGGUUCAAAACAGGAAGUCCGCCUUCCCCUUUUGUAAAUAGACUGAGGCAAUGAAGUUGCAAGCUGGAGUCUUGAAAGGUCUUUUGUAAAAGAUCAAAUUUCCAAUGGUAAAGAACAUUAAACCCCCUCUUGGAGGCAGGAGAAGAGAGGGGGAAGUUGUGAACUGAGUAUGCCUGCGGGAGAGAGCGAAGAGGCUUAAAACACCGCCGCUCUGACCCUGGAAACGGGCUGCUAGUAAAACUGACAUUUUUUGGAAUGUUCAUUGACAGCGCUUAGAACGUUCAUUGACAGCUAGCUAAAUAAGAGAAAUACAUUGUUUCUACUGUUUCCGGCUGCUUUAAAAAAGGAGUAAAAGUAACUGAAAAUUGAAACUAAUUUGAAACUAACUUUGGAUUGUUUAAAAGAGGAUACUAUUGACUUUUACAAAUAGAAACUGUUUCCCCCUAGUGGAAGCCUUUGAAACUGGUUGAUUUACAAGAGUUGGACUAGGGGAAUUUCCAGCUGCAAGUUAAAAACCGUGAGACUCUGGGACUGACCUUGAAUCUUUCAAAUGUUAUGGUAAAUGGAAGAGGAAAAACAGACCAGUCAACUGUUGAUAAAACAUUAAGGUCUGGGAGGACUUGGUAACAAUCCAGGAGAGGUCUAUUAUUAAGCCCUCCUGUUCUUUUUGUUGCUGUCUCUGUACUAGUAUAUUUGAAACUAAGAGGAAUGUCGACAGAAGAGGCUUUGGUGGCGGCAUUAUAUAAGAUAAAUGACUCAUUGGAUCAGCUUCACAGGAAAAUGGACAUGAUAAAUGCAAAGGUGGAUGUUUCAAUUGUUGAGGUUGACUUGAAUGCAGGGAGUAUGGACAAUACCAAUACAGAAACCACCCAGAAAUUGAUACAAGAACCUAUUUUGAUAUGGCAAGCUGUGGAGGAAGUCAAGGAAAAAGCUGUUGCUGUUGAAGGUACAGAAACACAACUGGAGAGAAAGAGAAAGAGAGCCCCAGCCCUACAGAGGCAAUUUGAUGAACAUAAGUUGACGCUCGCUAUGACUGAAUUUAAGGAAAAACAGACGAAUUUGAGGAUUAGAGUUCACCUUUGGUGGACAUGCCCAAGGAUUAAGACACUCUGGGAGAUGAUUCAUAACGAAAUGAAAAAGGUAUUUAAAUAUACCCUUUUGAAGAAACCAGAGGCCUUUCUCCUGGGCAUGGUCGGUCAAUUGGUGUUAAAGAAGGAUAGAAUUUGUCUCAUGUAUGCAACAAUAGCAGCAAGAAUACUAAUUGUGAAGUACUGGAAGACACAAGAUUUAUCUAUCCGGGAAGAAUGGCAGAUGAAGUUGAUGGACUAUAUGGAAUUGGCGGAAACGACUGGCAGAAAUCCGAGACCAGGGAGAAGAGUCGGUGGAAGAAAACUGGAAAAAGUUUAAGACUAUGUAUAGAAAUAUUGUAAAAUUAAUGAAUGUUAGAAAAAUGUUGGAAUGAAGUUAUAUGGCUUUAGUAGAAAUGUUAUAAGGAAUUAAGUAUAAAUAGAAAUAGAGUAUUAAAGGGAAAAAUAAGAUUAGAAUAUGUUGAGAUAAUUAUAGGAUAGAAAACAGAGGAAGAUGGAAAGGAAUUGCUGAAACAAUUAAUAGAAGUGGAAUACAGAAAGGGAGGCGUGAGGAGGUCGUGGAAAUAAGGGAAUGAAAGUUAAGAUAUUGAAAUUGUUUUGUGUUUUAAAUGGUUUGCGUCUUGUUUUGUUAAUCUUAUGUUUUUUCUCUUUUUUUCUUUGCUUUUUCUUUUCCUUUUUUGUUGUUUCUGUUUUAUUGUGUUCAAAUGGUUGGAAAGUCAAUAAAUAUUAUUUAAAAAACACACAAAAAAAAACCAAAGAUGAUUUGUCGUUGUUCCACAUACCUUCCAUUUUAAAUUGCCACUUUCCCUCCAUAAAAAAUCCUCCAAACAACAAGGAUGCUACCUUAUACCAUAUGGUUUAGGAAAAUUUACCUAACCCAUCCCACCUCCAAAUAAAUAAGUUGACAAUUAACUGUGUGAAUUCCCACCCAUUGCAGUAAUUCAUUCAAAAGAUGUACAGUCUUUCAUAGAAGCCUGUAGAGGCAAGCUUGGGCACUUCUCCUUUGGAAUGGCAUCCCCUACACUUCCUCUUCUUUAAUUCUCACCUUGAGAACUUGGCUUCACUGCCACUGUCUCGAGUGAGCUGUUGCCUAUAAAAAACAUGUGCUGGUUAAUCUCAAAGGUGCUGCAGCACCUAUUAUCUUUACAGAUGGGGAGCCGAACUUGGCUGCGCCUCUGGAAUCACAAGGAUUGAAGUUUCUGGGUUGUUAUCAUGGUGCUUGCCAUGCUGUAAACUUUCUUACUUGACUUUUCUUUUUUUUAAAAAACAACAACAGCAACAACUUUGGGUCGGAGAAUAUAUGUAUGAAUCUGAUUCCCUCCAUUAAAGGAAGCAAUCAAAACUUCGGGGGACUUUCACAAAGGGUAAUCUAAUCCGGAAGAGGAGUAAGGACAGGAGGAGAAAUAGGCACUCAAACAUAGCAGCAUCACAGAAUCCUGUUAUGAUUUCAGUAGGGAAUCCCCCACCCCAUUUUAAGCCCAUAGUGGAUUUGAUGAGAACCUCAUUUCAGUGAAAUUCUCCUGUGCCGUACAUCUCUAUUUUUCCAUUUCAUUUUCUCACCUCUUUUUCUUUCCAUUCCAUUACACAUUGCCUUUCUGUCCUCAACCACAUCCCCCCCCCCCCCAGCAUCUUGGUUGAUCCAUUUUCUCCUUGGCCUCCAAGCCAUUCUGAGUGCAGAAAAAGGAAAGGGGGGGCACUCCACACCUAAUCUCUUUUCUCUACUGGAUAGCUAAUAGCACUGUCAUUUGCUUUUCAGCCGUGAAGUUGCUGUCUGACUCAGAAUUGCGGUUUGCAGCAAUGGUGAGAAACAGGAUGCAGAAUGGGAGAGAAAUAGCCAAGACUACUCACAUUGCUAUGGCCUUCUUGCAAUGUGGGGUGGGGUGACAACCCCAUACAGAGGGCUUGAAAGCUGUGGCUGCCACACAGUCUGAGAAAGUCUACCAUGUUGAGCAUGUGAAAACAUUCCCAUUGUUCCCUAGGAAUCUCCAUUUUUUCUACAAUGAAUGAAAACAUUGAAGGGUC